GCUAGCUAAUAAAUACGAUAACCAUUGGUUUUUUUUAACACAAACCUAACAUGCUUUGGAACAGUAUAUUGUUACUGUUGGCGUUGUCGCAAGGCUACAGCGCAAGGCUCACCUACUUCACUCGUCCAGGCAAAACUGACCAAUUCUCUGAUGAUUAUUACUACGAAAGAAAUCUAUACGACAGUAGUGAAAGUGAUUACGACGCUGCUGACGUCCGCGUUACCGUACCUAUUAUAGUCUUAUUAGAAAAAACCAAAGCAUCACGAGUACCUAAAGAAGAGUCAAAAUCGUUUGAAUCCAUUUAUGAAAGAAAAUUCGGGAAAAAACCUGGAAUGUUGAGCAAGAAGAGAUCCAAACACCGUCUGAAGUCGUUAUUUAGAACUCUUAGGAACCUCGGUACAGAAGACUUUUAAUGUAAUCCUAUAAUUUCAACUUAUCACAAAUUUUAUAUGUGUUAAAUUUUGAUUAAGAUGCGUGACGCCUGACAAGACUCUGAUGGUCACAUUGAAGCCAAUCGCUUUCAAUAAAUUUUUCUUUGAAAAUA
Molecule: long non-coding RNA, 544 nt
Organism: Plodia interpunctella (Indianmeal moth)
Lineage: Eukaryota; Metazoa; Arthropoda; Insecta; Lepidoptera; Pyralidae
Exons: 3
Source: RefSeq, a predicted model, not a curated record